AGCUUGCUCCUCUGAUUUAGCGGCGGACGGGUGAGUAACACGUGGGCAACCUGCCCUGUAGACUGGGAUAACUUCGGGAAACCGGAGCUAAUACCGGAUAAUCCAUUUUACCUCAUGGUGAAAUGUUGAAAGGCGCUUCGGCGUCACUACAGGAUGGGCCCGCGGUGCAUUAGCUAGUUGGUGGGGUAACGGCCUACCAAGGCAACGAUGCAUAGCCGACCUGAGAGGGUGAUCGGCCACAUUGGGACUGAGACACGGCCCAAACUCCUACGGGAGGCAGCAGUAGGGAAUCUUCCACAAUGGACGAAAGUCUGAUGGAGCAACGCCGCGUGAGUGAUGAAGGUUUUCGGAUCGUAAAACUCUGUUGUAAGGGAAGAACAAGUACGUUAGGAAAUGAACGUACCUUGACGGUACCUUAUUAGAAAGCCACGGCUAACUACGUGCCAGCAGCCGCGGUAAUACGUAGGUGGCAAGCGUUGUCCGGAUUUAUUGGGCGUAAAGCGCGCGCAGGUGGUUUCUUAAGUCUGAUGUGAAAGCCCACGGCUCAACCGUGGAGGGUCAUUGGAAACUGGGGAACUUGAGUGCAGAAGAGGAUAGUGGAAUUCCAAGUGUAGCGGUGAAAUGCGUAGAGAUUUGGAGGAACACCAGUGGCGAAGGCGACUGUCUGGUCUGUAACUGACACUG
This 684-nucleotide ribosomal RNA is filed under the name uncultured Bacillus sp. RNAcentral's name for it is "bacterial SSU rRNA". It matches the Rfam family "Bacterial small subunit ribosomal RNA", at positions 77 to 748 of the family's 1533-position model. The record is from RNAcentral. Lineage: Bacteria; Bacillati; Bacillota; Bacilli; Caryophanales; Bacillaceae.